GUGACAACCUGAGUUUAAAUGUACUUGGCUAAGGUUUAUGUAAACUUCCCACUUCAACUGUAUAUAGCGGGUGAGGGCAUUCACAGCCGACCACUCAGACAGAACCAAUGGGUGUGCCUGAGUCUCAUCACCUCUCAACUAGGGAAGAUGUUUCAUCCUGGAACACUAUUCUCCUGCUUUGGUCUUUCAGUCAUUGCAGGAAGUCCUGAAGACCAGCAGUUGUCCCAAACACAUGACUUAAACAAUCAACAUAACGAAUCACAGCGAUAGGCUAUGAUGUGAAAUCCGGUAUGAGCUGGAACGAAAGCUUGUACACACUUCUGCCAUUCAGAUCUGGAGCUAUCCACCCUGUUCCCAGCAUGCAGGACCCAUUGAUUACAGGGUAUUGAUUAGCUAAACAAGCAAGUCUGUUUGUUUUGUUACCAAGGGCAACUACUGUAGCUGUCUAGCAAAAUUGCUAGCUACUUCAGUGCAUGUUGAACACAUUUCUAGCGGUAAAUGUGUGAAAUUAUAGCCGUGGUAUAAAUAGUGCGUUGUGAAACACAUCCGCCAUGUUGUUGAUUAUAUUCCAUAGAAGGCCUGGUCCCUCGUUGAUUAUCCCUUACAUAAUGCAUGUUCCAAUCUCAAAUUGAAGUUGAACUUGUUGACUGAUGCCCAGGCGGUGGCUGCUAAGAAGAAGAAAUGAAUAGCUGCUGACCAGAAGAAUGCAGUCAAGGGAGCACUGGUCCACACCUGCCCUGUCUGUCAGAACAGUCUCAAUUCAUCGAGGCGUGGACUCUACAAGGUGUCAGAACAGUCUCAAUUCAUC
This is a long non-coding RNA of Oncorhynchus gorbuscha (pink salmon), 808 nucleotides long. RefSeq lists it as uncharacterized. The record is from RefSeq and is a predicted model, not a curated record. The transcript has 3 exons. NCBI's taxonomy places the organism in Eukaryota, Metazoa, Chordata, Actinopteri, Salmoniformes, Salmonidae.